CUAUCCAAUCCUAGCACGCUCUGCGCAGCCACGACCACGAGCUGCGGCCGCCGAACAUCUCGUCGAGGACGAUGACAAGCCCCAUGGCGAGCGGCGCGCCGAAGCGGGGACUGACCACCAGCCUGAACACGUCGUCGCCGACGGCCUCCUUGCGCCGGACCUCGGCCACGACGUCGCCGCGCGCGUCGCGCACGGCGCAGUCACGCCGGCCGUACGACCCCUCGACCACGAACGCCUCCUGGGCGGCCGAGGAGGGCGCGAAGACAUGCGCCAGCGUCUUCCCGCCGGAGGCGCGGAGACCGACGUGGCGGUGGACGGAGAGGAGAGGGCGACGCGGCUGCGGCUGCGGUUGCGUGGUGCCGGCGCCGUCUUCGUAGAUGAGCCAGCGCUCCGCCAGGCUGAGCCUCUUGCGGUGGAGCGUGAGCAGCGGCGCCCCUGCGGCGUCCAUGAGCGCGACCUCGGCGCGCCGGCGGGAGGUGGCGUAGCAGUCGACACGGAAGGCGAGGUCUCCCCGGGCGUCGUACACGGUGAAGCCGUCGCAGUUGAAGAGCAGCGACUUGCGCCAUACCGUCAGCACCGUCGGCGGUUCAGGUUGUUGGUCGCCGGCAGCGGCUCGGGUGGCGGGCUCUGCCGCGACGGCUGCGCUGUUUGGGUAGACCUUGGCCAUUACUCUGCUUGGGCCUCUCCUCUGCUUCUUGGGACUUGGGAUUGCUUGAUCGAGAGGUGGGAGAAUUUAUACCAGACGACGAGUGGCAUGCGUUGCGUUGGUGGCUGGGCUUCCCGUUGGGCGGAAGCGGCGGAUCUCGCCGCCCCGGCCUCUGUCUGCUCUCCUCCUGGAUGCCAUGCCGGAAUACCAAAACUCCUGGCUAGCUAGCUAGCUGGUGAUUCAUAGGCAUCCGCCUAGCAUUUCGGUGGAAGAACUGAUUCUUGGCCAACCCACACCGCAUACCGACUAGCCGAUGUAAUAAUGGUCCAUGCACUCAACGUACAAAGUUAUAUUCUCAGUUGAUAAUGGCCGGUCGGCAAAAAUAAAGCAAUCCAACAAAACAAAACUUAUGGCAUAACCGAAAAACAUUUGUGGAGAGAGUAAAGCCGUUCCCGUUGGAAAAUAUGUAUACUAAACACCAACAUAUCUACGUACUAUAUUGUAGGUCUCCUUCUUUUGAACAUCCUCAAAACAAACUAGUUAUUCUAUUUUAUUUAAUAAGGAUACUACAUCACUACCGGAAUCAAUAGCUUCGCCGAGUGCCGGAAGCACUCGGCGAAGCCUUAAAAACACUCGGCAAAGGCUUUGCCGAGUGUAACACUCGGCAAAGAAGGCUCGGCAAACAGUGCAUCGGCAAAGACUUCUUUGCCGAGUACUUUUUCUCGGGCACUCGGCAAAUAUCUUUGCCGAGUGUCAGGGAGCACUCGGCAAAGAAAAGCGACCGUUACGGCGCCGGUUGACGGAGACGGCGGCUUUGCCGAGUGUCAACGGUGACACUCGGCAACGAAGAUAUCUUUGCCGAGUGUCCUCCUGGC
This 1521-nucleotide unclassified non-coding RNA is filed under the name Zea mays. Its description in RNAcentral is "misc RNA Zm00001eb163770". Lineage: Eukaryota; Viridiplantae; Streptophyta; Magnoliopsida; Poales; Poaceae. The record is from RNAcentral.